RNAcentral lists this ribosomal RNA (217 nucleotides) under uncultured bacterium. RNAcentral's name for it is "partial 16S ribosomal RNA". It matches the Rfam family "Bacterial small subunit ribosomal RNA", at positions 122 to 334 of the family's 1533-position model. The record is from RNAcentral.
UAACCUGCCUCUUAGCGGGGGAUAACUAUUGGAAACGAUAGCUAAUACCGCAUAAAAGUCGACAUUGCAUGAUGUUGACUUGAAAGGUGCAAUUGCAUCACUAAGAGAUGGACCUGCGUUGUAUUAGCUAGUUGGUGAGGUAACGGCUCACCAAGGCGACGAUACAUAGCCGACCUGAGAGGGUGAUCGGCCACACUGGGGCUGAGACACGGCCCAG